Molecule: long non-coding RNA, 983 nt
Organism: Beta vulgaris subsp. vulgaris (sugar beet)
Lineage: Eukaryota; Viridiplantae; Streptophyta; Magnoliopsida; Caryophyllales; Amaranthaceae
Exons: 3
Source: RefSeq, a predicted model, not a curated record
GACGUCCUUUUUAAACCAAACAUGAUAUGAUUUGCAUACAACUAAAAGUUUGAAUAUCGACUUAUAUAAAUUUGUCUUAUUCCAAAUUAUUGAAUAUAUUAUAUCAGUAAUAAAAUACACAUUUAUCGAUGUCACUUUCAUACACGUUUAAAUGAAGUACAACUGUUUUUUUCGAGGCAAUUGCGAAAGUGCCGACAACACUUAUUUGUUGCAAUAUUUUUUGACCGAACCCGAAAAACACAUGGCCAAGACCCGACAUGGAGCUCAUUUUUUCCCAAACAAAUACAAGAAUGUGAUUAACAAACCCUCGACAUUUUCAUUUGACAUGCUACCCGUGUUUUUUUUAAAAAAAAAUCAAAAAAAUAAAACAAAACCUAAACAAACCCUCGCCGUUUUCAUUUGACAUAUUCAUUCUCUCAACCCUAAACAAACUCACUCACUCGUCGCCUCCUCUCCGUCGUUGGCUCGUCGAUCGUCUGUUCGUCGCUUCUUCUCAGUCGUCGGUCGUCGCAUCUUCUCAGUCGUCGGUCGUCGCAUCUUCUCAGUCAUCGGCUUUUCACUUCCUCUUAGUGGUCGCCUCGUCGCCUCCUCUCAGUCGUCGCCGUUGGUCGUCGCGUCGUCGGAGUCUCAGAGAUAAUCAGAAAAUGGUGAGUUACUGAGUUUGUGUAAUUUCGUCAAUGAUUCCUUAAUUUUCUUAGGAUUUAGCCGUUUAGGCCUUUAGAAUUAGGGUUAACUUUCUUUCUCUUUCCUCUAAUCCUCUCUAAUGGCAGUUUGAACUUUGAAUAAAUCGGCCGAGUUCUCCGAGCCUCAGUUUGUCCGAUUUCGACAGGCAGUUCACAGAAAGAAUCACAGUUGUUCAGUAACAGAAAUCCAGAAGCGGAAGGGCCAAACUAAUCAAGUCCAUCAAGCAGUGAGUCAUCAAUUUCCCUAAAAUUAUGUGUUCAUGGUGUCAUAUUGGAGCUGUCAAAUUAAGGAAAAUAAGG